UGCGGGAUGGAGCAGUCUGGUAGCUCGCCGGGCUCAUAACCCGGAGGUCGUUGGUUCAAAUCCAGCUCCCGCGA
RNAcentral lists this transfer RNA (74 nucleotides) under Eggerthella sp. YY7918. It matches the Rfam family "tRNA". Rfam says of the family: Transfer RNA (tRNA) molecules are approximately 80 nucleotides in length. Their secondary structure includes four short double-helical elements and three loops (D, anti-codon, and T loops). Further hydrogen bonds mediate the characteristic L-shaped molecular structure. tRNAs have two regions of fundamental functional importance: the anti-codon, which is responsible for specific mRNA codon recognition, and the 3' end, to which the tRNAs corresponding amino acid is attached (by aminoacyl-tRNA synthetases). tRNAs cope with the degeneracy of the genetic code in two manners: having more than one tRNA (with a specific anti-codon) for a particular amino acid; and 'wobble' base-pairing, i.e. permitting non-standard base-pairing at the 3rd anti-codon position. The record is from Rfam by way of RNAcentral. Lineage: Bacteria; Bacillati; Actinomycetota; Coriobacteriia; Eggerthellales; Eggerthellaceae.